This is a long non-coding RNA of Erigeron canadensis, 569 nucleotides long. RefSeq lists it as uncharacterized. NCBI's taxonomy places the organism in Eukaryota, Viridiplantae, Streptophyta, Magnoliopsida, Asterales, Asteraceae. The record is from RefSeq and is a predicted model, not a curated record. The transcript is spliced from 3 exons.
AACAACUGGGUUGCAUAAAGUAUUGAUGAAUUUAUUAACCUUGUUUCAUGAAAACAUAUCAGCAAUCAUUGAACAACAUAAGGAGGAGGUUAGGCAUUUUCCUAGUAUUGUGAGCUAUAGAAAUGUUUUCUUGCCCAGACUGGGGUUGUAAACAAGAUUACCUCUGUUGAAGCUCGAGUCUUAUUGGGUUAAGUUUUAGUGAUGUAAGUAGAAUAUUUGCUUGAAAUGUACUACAAUGACAGAAUUUGAGUUUGCAAGGCCAUUUCCAAUUUUCACAUGAACCCUGUUUCAUCUCCAUAUGUGCAGAUGCUGGGGGAGAAUAGGAUGAAUUUAUAUCGCAUGUAUUCGCCUCGAUGAAUCAAUGUCCGGUUCUCACAUUGCCUAGAGAAAAUGACGCUCUUGGACUCUCACCUUGGCAAAGGACAAAAGCCUUUGAGUUUCAUCCCGCGGAGAGCUUGGAAGAAAAUUUAAAUUUCGACAAAAUGAAGACCAAAUUAGCUAGCUUCAUGGAGCAAAAUCCAAGCUAAGUUUUCUUUAGAUUUUAGAAUCUGAAUUUGAAAAUGUUUACU